This 492-nucleotide ribosomal RNA is filed under the name uncultured bacterium. RNAcentral describes it as "partial 16S ribosomal RNA". It matches the Rfam family "Bacterial small subunit ribosomal RNA", at positions 29 to 507 of the family's 1533-position model. The record is from RNAcentral.
AUUGAACGCUGGCGGCAUGCUUUACACAUGCAAGUCGAACGGUAACAGGCCUUCGGGUGCUGACGAGUGGCGGACGGGUGCGUAAUGCAGCGGAACGUAUCCAGCGUGGGGGGUAAACGCAGCGAAAGCUGUGCUAAUACCGCAUGUGCUCUGAGGAUGAAAGCGGGGGACCGAGCAGCAAUGUUUGGCCUCGCGCCUUAGGAUCGGCCUGUGUCGGAUUAGCUAGUUGGUGGGGUAAAGGCCCACCAAGGCGACGAUCCGUAGCUGGUCUGAGAGGACGACCAGACACACUGGGACUGAGACACGGCACAGACUCCUACGGGAGGCAGCAGUGGGGAAUGUUGGACAAGGGGCGCAGGCCUGAUCCAGCACUGCCGCGUGGGGGAAGAAGGCCUUCGGGUUGUAAACCGCUUUUGGCAGGAACGAAACGGUGUCCGCUAAUACCGGGCGCUAAUGACGGUACCUGAAGAAUAAGCACCGGCUAACUACGUG